This 496-nucleotide ribosomal RNA is filed under the name uncultured bacterium. Its description in RNAcentral is "partial 16S ribosomal RNA". It matches the Rfam family "Bacterial small subunit ribosomal RNA", at positions 29 to 507 of the family's 1533-position model. The record is from RNAcentral.
AUGCACGCUGGCGGCGUGCCUCAUCCAUGCAAGUCGAGCGAACGGAUGAGAAGCUUGCUUCUCUGAUGUUAGCGGCGGACGGGUGAGUAACACGUGGAUAACCUACCUAUAAGACUGGGAUAACUUCGGGAAACCGGAGCUAAUACCGGAUAAUAUUUUGAACCGCAUGGUUCAAAAGUGAAAGACGGUCUUGCUGUCACUUAUAGAUGGAUCCGCGCUGCAUUAGCUAGUUGGUAAGGUAACGGCUUACCAAGGCAACGAUGCAUAGCCGACCUGAGAGGGUGAUCGGCCACACUGGAACUGAGACACGGUCCAGACUCCUACGGGAGGCAGCAGUAGGGAAUCUUCCGCAAUGGGCGAAAGCCUGACGGAGCAACGCCGCGUGAGUGAUGAAGGUCUUCGGAUCGUAAAACUCUGUUAUUAGGGAAGAACAUAUGUGUAAGUAACUGUGCACAUCUUGACGGUACCUAAUCAGAAAGCCACGGCUAACUACGUG